This 253-nucleotide ribosomal RNA is filed under the name uncultured bacterium. RNAcentral's name for it is "partial 16S ribosomal RNA". It matches the Rfam family "Bacterial small subunit ribosomal RNA", at positions 524 to 776 of the family's 1533-position model. The record is from RNAcentral.
UACGUAGGGAGCAAGCGUUGUCCGGAAUCAUUGGGCGUAAAGCGCGCGUAGGUGGCCACAUAAGUCCGUUGUGAAAGUCAAAGGCUCAACCUUUGAAAGCCGAUGGAUACUGUGUGGCUAGAGUACGGAAGAGGCGAGUGGAAUUCCUGGUGUAGCGGUGGAAUGCGCAGAUAUCAGGAGGAACACCGAUUGCGAAGGCAGCUCGCUGGGACGUUACUGACGCUGAGACGCGAAAGCGUGGGGAGCAAACAGG